Molecule: ribosomal RNA, 301 nt
Filed under: uncultured bacterium
Lineage: Bacteria
Description: partial 16S ribosomal RNA
Rfam family: Bacterial small subunit ribosomal RNA
Source: RNAcentral
CAGUCGCCGCGGUAAUACGAAGGGGGCUAGCGUUGUUCGGAAUUAUUGGGCGUAAAGGGUGCGUAGGCGGCUUGACAAGUCUUGUGUGAAAUCUAUGGCCUCAACCCAUAGUCUGCACGGGAAACUGUCGGGCUUGAGAAUGGGAGAGGUGAGUGGAAUUUCCGGUGUAGCGGUGAAAUGCGUAGAUAUCGGAAGGAACACCUGUGGCGAAAGCGGCUCACUGGACCAUUUCUGACGCUGAUGCACGAAAGCUAGGGAAGCAAACAGGAUUAGAUACCCGCGUAGUCCCUGUCUCUUAUAC